UACAUGGGGUGCAAACGUUGCUCGGAAUUAUUGGGCGUAAAGCGCGCGUAGGCGGUUACUCAAGUCGGAUGUGAAAGCCCUCGGCUUAACUGAGGAAGUGCACCCGAAACUGAGUAGCUAGAGUACUAAAGAGGGUCGCGGAAUUCCCGAUGUAGAGGUGAAAUUCGUAGAUAUCGGGAGGAACACCGGUGGCGAAGGCGGCGACCUGGGUAGAUACUGACGCUGAGGCGCGGAAGCGUGGGGAGCAAACAGG
Molecule: ribosomal RNA, 253 nt
Filed under: uncultured bacterium
Lineage: Bacteria
Description: partial 16S ribosomal RNA
Rfam family: Bacterial small subunit ribosomal RNA
Source: RNAcentral